RNAcentral lists this ribosomal RNA (253 nucleotides) under uncultured bacterium. Its description in RNAcentral is "partial 16S ribosomal RNA". It matches the Rfam family "Bacterial small subunit ribosomal RNA", at positions 524 to 776 of the family's 1533-position model. The record is from RNAcentral.
UACGUAGGGGGCAAACGUUGUCCGGAUUUAUUGGGCGUAAAGCGCGUGUAGGCGGCUGGGUAGGUCCGCUGUGAAAACUCGAGGCUCAACCUCGAGACGUCGGCGGAAACCAUCCAGCUAGAGUCCGGAAGAGGAGAGUGGAAUUCCUGGUGUAGCGGUGAAAUGCGCAGAUAUCAGGAAGAACACCCGUGGCGAAAGCGGCUCUCUGGGACGGUACUGACGCUGAGACGCGAAAGCGUGGGGAGCGAACAGG